Molecule: ribosomal RNA, 252 nt
Filed under: uncultured bacterium
Lineage: Bacteria
Description: partial 16S ribosomal RNA
Rfam family: Bacterial small subunit ribosomal RNA
Source: RNAcentral
UACGUAGGAGACGAGCGUUGUCCGGAAUUACUGGGCGUAAAGCGCGUGUAGGCGGAUGAGCAAGUCUGCUGUGAAAGCUCCUGGCUUAACCGGGAGUGGUCGGUGGAAACUGCUCGUCUGGAGGACGGUAGAGGUAGGUAGAAUUCCCGGUGUAGUGGUGAAAUGCGUAGAGAUCGGGAGGAAUACCUGUGGCGAAGGCGGGUCUCUGGGCCGAUAUUGACGUGAGGAGCGAAAGCGUGGGGAGCGAACAGG